UGGGGAAUUUUCCGCAAUGGGCGAAAGCCUGACGGAGCAAUACCGCGUGAGGGAUGACGGCCUAUGGGUUGUAAACCUCUUUUUUCAGGGAGGAAGGGGUCACUGAUCCCUGACGUGUACCUGAGGAAUAAGCAUCGGCUAACUCCGUGCCAGCAGCCGCGGUAAGACGGAGGAUGCAAGUGUUAUCCGGAAUCACUGGGCGUAAAGCGUCUGUAGGUGGUCAAAUAAGUCAACUGUUAAAUCUUGAGGCUCAACCUCAAAAUCGCAGUCGAAACUAUUCGACUAGAGUAUAGUAGGGGUAAAGGGAAUUUCCAGUGGAGCGGUGAAAUGCGUAGAGAUUGGAAAGAACACCGAUGGCGAAGGCACUUUACUGGGCUAUUACUAACACUGAGAGACGAAA
Molecule: ribosomal RNA, 400 nt
Filed under: uncultured bacterium
Lineage: Bacteria
Description: bacterial SSU rRNA
Rfam family: Bacterial small subunit ribosomal RNA
Source: RNAcentral